CGCCUACAUGAAGCUGGAGUUACUAGUAAUCGCAGAUCAGAAUGCUGCGGUGAAUGCGUUCCCGGGUCUUGUACACACCGCCCGUCACACCACGAGUUGGGGCGCCCGAAGCCACUUAGCUAACCCUUUUGGGAAGCGAGUGUCGAAGGUGAAAUCAAUAACUGGGGUGAAGUCGUAACAAGGUAGC
RNAcentral lists this ribosomal RNA (187 nucleotides) under uncultured bacterium. Its description in RNAcentral is "partial 16S ribosomal RNA". It matches the Rfam family "Bacterial small subunit ribosomal RNA", at positions 1313 to 1500 of the family's 1533-position model. The record is from RNAcentral.